UUAUAGGAGUUUGCAGCAGCACAGACAGUU
RNAcentral lists this non-coding RNA (30 nucleotides) under Mus musculus (house mouse). The record is from RNAcentral. Lineage: Eukaryota; Metazoa; Chordata; Mammalia; Rodentia; Muridae.